Molecule: long non-coding RNA, 2036 nt
Organism: Silurus meridionalis
Lineage: Eukaryota; Metazoa; Chordata; Actinopteri; Siluriformes; Siluridae
Exons: 9
Source: RefSeq, a predicted model, not a curated record
GGUUUCAUGCAGGACUCUAUGUGUUCCAUUUCUUCCGGACUCCAAUAUCCUGCACCGGAUGCAUGUUUCCUUACAGCGAAUCUUGGAUCAGCUUCACUUCUCCCAAGCGCACCUCAGACUCUCUUAUCCCAAAGACUGCCGUGUGUGUGUGUGUGCUUGUGUGUAUCUCUCUCCCUCAGUCUAGUCAUUGAAACCCAAGCAAACCGUACUUCAGCUUCCCCCUCCGUUUCAUUCGCACCGUGACACAUAUAAUAAUAUAAUAUAUAAUGUUCUAUCUGAAUGUUUAUUUUCCACAGAAAUGGCAGUGCUGAAAAACAGCUUCUGGCAAUUAAAGAAGUAAACACCAGACAAAAUCAGGAAAUCCGAAGCCUGGAGUACACAAUCAGUAGCUUCGAGAAAAGCAUCUGUUUAUUCGAGGCACUUUCUUUUGAUUACAAACGCAGACGUCAUUGAACUGAAAGAAAAAGUGCUUCUCCACGCACACUGAGAACUAGCAGGAAGCUGACAAAGCAAAGAGAACUGGAUCAGCCAUGUCACCACCCAGGAAAGCUCAAAAGCCUUGACUUUAUGCUGCUUCACCAGAUCCUACAAACACAAGACACACAACACAAUCUCUCAUCUAAAGUGCGUUAGAAACACUACAAAAGUCCUGUUCUGAUGUUUUACCUACAGACAGGAUUCAUGCACUUCUCACAGGAACAAGUGAACUUCCUGUUCUGAGAUGAAGAGAAAGCAGUCAUUUCUGAGUUUUGUGUAAAUGAGUGCUUAGCAAAAAACGUAUCUGUCUGUGAUUUUGGAGAAGAUUAAGGUGGAGAGAGGGUUUAUGGGACAUGAUCUCCUGCAGUUUCUCUGUAGGGUUUAUGUAGGCGUGUGGCAACAGAGAGGAGACUCUCACAAAGCACAUGCUCUCGCCUACAGACUUUUUAAAGAAGACUUUUUUGAAGCCCCCAAAGUGAUUAUGGUCAUUGUGACAGCAUGGGCAAGUAUUUUGUUCCAUGAAAGUUCUUUAUGCCGAUCAAUUCACGUAGUGAGCAACCUGAAAGCAAAGGAAAAGGUAUUUUACUUGCUCAGCACUUAUCUGUGCUGGGAUGAGGUAAGUUGUUGAUCUUUAGUGUUCCUCUCAGUGUCAAUGUUUAUUACUGGCAGGCCAGAACUGUCAAGCAUCUUUUUUCAACUGGACUUUUUAUGUAUUUUACUGCCUUCUUAAUCUACUUUUAAUUUCCAAGUAUCAGUGUAAUCUAGUGGGACAAAUUCUUUGUACAUUUAUGUUGAACUAUGCUGUCAGUUAAACAGUGUUUCAUGGCACUGGGUAUUAAAUAAUGAUGUAUUUUCUGCCAGGCGCCUCCGGGAAACACAUACAAUAUGAUCACCAGCACCCUGAUGUCUUUUCUGGAAGACAGCAGACUGAGGUUCCUGAAGAACAGCUCGUAUGGUUAUGAUCUCUGUCCUGCUACCUGGAACUACAUCUUCAGCCUGGAUCUUCUGUGUGCACAACUGGGCUGGACUUGGACCAAUAUUAUACGGAAGGACCUUUGACUGAUACUGAACACUUGGCUGAUGCAAGCAAGAACAGAGCAAACACCGUUCCGAGACGUCUGUGUAGCAGCAGUUUUCAGGCUACUUGGGCGACUUGGUCAGCUAGGACUUUAAGGAGAACCUGCCAAUGUCAUUUGAAAUUCUGGCAAAAAGCAUAAAUCAGUUUGUAACCCAACUCUCAAAAGAUAUGCCAUGGGAAUUGCAGUUACUAUUUUUUAGUAACUAGCACAACACUGGUCUUCAGUAUGAUUCUGGGCUCCAGACUGGUUAAAAAAAGUCAUAUUCCUCAUUUCAAAUAGAAAAGAUGUCAUCGUACAGCCAAAUGAGGAUUCAGCCCUGGGGGUCCUUAGUGCUCACUGUGGUGGGUUUGGGGAUGCAAACUAACUGAAGUGUCCUGUCAGGAAGUCAGACAUACAGACUUAAUACAUAGAUGUAAACUAUAAUAAACUGAUAAUGCUGUACAGAUCAUAAAUAAAUAAACAUUUUUAUUUAUCUAAAAA